AACGCGAAGAACCUUACCUACUCUUGACAUCCUUGGAAUCUUCUAGAGAUAGAAGAGUGCCUUCGGGAGCCAAGUGACAGGUGCUGCAUGGCUGUCGUCAGCUCGUGUCGUGAGAUGUUGGGUUAAGUCCCGUAACGAGCGCAACCCUCGCCCUUAGUUGCCAGCGGUCCGGCCGGGAACUCUAAGGGGACUGCCGGUGAUAAACCGGAGGAAGGUGGGGAUGAUGUCAAGUCAUCAUGGCCCUUACGAGUAGGGCUACACACGUGCUACAAUGGCCAGUACAAUGGGUUGCCAAACCGUGAGGUGGAGCUAAUCCCAUAAAGCUGGUCGUAGUCCAGAUUGGAGUCUGCAACUCGACUCCAUGAAGUUGGAAUCGCUAGUAAUCGCGAAUCAGAAUGUCGCGGUGAAUACGUUCCCGGGCCUUGUACACACCGCAUAC
Molecule: ribosomal RNA, 439 nt
Filed under: uncultured bacterium
Lineage: Bacteria
Description: bacterial SSU rRNA
Rfam family: Bacterial small subunit ribosomal RNA
Source: RNAcentral